This is a long non-coding RNA of Bombus terrestris (buff-tailed bumblebee), 676 nucleotides long. RefSeq lists it as uncharacterized. NCBI's taxonomy places the organism in Eukaryota, Metazoa, Arthropoda, Insecta, Hymenoptera, Apidae. The record is from RefSeq and is a predicted model, not a curated record. The transcript is spliced from 2 exons.
AGUUAAAAACACGUAGUGUGAAUGCAUACAGAAACGUUCGUCAGCUGAUUCAUUGACCAAAGGCACCUACAUAACUUGUGUAAAUAAUUAAAAUCGGACAAUCACAAAUCGUUAUUGAGAAAAAAUCACGUGCCAACUAGUUCACCAUUGUUCCGAAGGAACUCGAGUGUGAGGCGUUACACUUUGUCCGAGAACCGCUCCAGGCAGCAAGUGGUGUCGUUUCAACGAUCGCACACGCGAUGUCGAGCGAUCAUUGUGUCUCGAACAAGAAGGAGGCACACUACCGAUAGAGAGACACGCAGCGAAACCCACGUCGCGCGUUAUCGUGGUAGAAAUAUCAUCGAUGAGAACGAGCGUCGUAAUUCGUCGCUAAUCACCACGUGCACACGGUGUGGGAGGCGGCACCGCAGGAGAAUGUCAGUGAAAGUCUAUCUCGGCGAUCGUUCCUACGAUGAUUGUCGUCCCACGUGUUCUCGCCGGCACGACAAUCGCUUCCUGAUGAAGCGAACGACCCAUUCGAUACCAACAAGAGAUUCCAAAGCCUCUAAGAGGAUACCCGAACAGUUGUUAUGCGUAGUCAACUCAGGAAUGGUAAUGGAACUCCCUAAACGUCGUUUAGCCGACAUUAUAUCGCAUUGCGAAAUAUGUAUCAUAAAUUUUAAAUUUAAAUAUCGAA